ACAAAUCCAAGGAAACUGCUGGACAUCGCUGCUGAGGACGACUGAGGAGGUCAAACCUAAACCCUAAAGGAGAAAAAGAAGGUAGAGAGAUGACGCUUGGUGGGGCUAAUUGAUUUAGACCAGUUAGAGGCAGAGGACAGGACUAAUGUAGGGAUUUGAGUUGUGAAGCACCGACUGUUAGAAACAGCUUUCCGAUGUGACUUGGUCUAGUUCUAGAUGUUCCUCUGGUUAGUUAGUUUUCAGGCCUAGUUUGAGGGAAAAGAACCCUCUGCAGAAAUAUUCUCCAUAUCAUCUAGGCCUGUCCUGACCGCAGUGGAUCUCUUCUGUGUUUUUUGAAUCCCAUGUUGGACCGAGCCGCUACAAGCUUUGGGCCAAUCAGAAGAUGCUGAUGAGAUCUGCAGCGACCAAACCAGAGGAGGAUCAUCUGAGCUGCUGACCUUCACAAAGAGUGAGAGCAUGUUCAACACUGUGGACGUCCAAAAGCAGAACUCCUGUGAGGAACCGGGACAUCCAGGAUGAUGAGGAGCUUCCCAGUCUCUACCUGAGGACGGCACAGAGAAAGACUGGAACAGAAAACACACGGAGGAAAGCAGGUUGAACAUGGAAGCAGUGUUCUAGCAGUCGGAUCACAUUGGAAAAGAAUCCAUCCACAUGUGUUUGGAGGAGCUGAAGAAGAGGAUGGAGCACACAGACCGCUAAGGAGAAGAAACAUGGCUCCUCUAUUUGUCUCUCCAACGUUCUGGAGUCUGAAAAACGUUGACGACCCCGCAGCUAAACCAUCAGUCUGCUCCACCCAGUAGAAGAAGAUGAGGUCAUCUGCUCCUUGGACCGGCGCCUCUGU
This is a long non-coding RNA of Cyprinodon tularosa, 841 nucleotides long. RefSeq lists it as uncharacterized. The transcript has 5 exons. Lineage: Eukaryota; Metazoa; Chordata; Actinopteri; Cyprinodontiformes; Cyprinodontidae. The record is from RefSeq and is a predicted model, not a curated record.